AUGUCAUGUGCAAGUGCAUGUCUGAACCUAAGGCUAGUCAACAAAAACGCCGCAGGUGGCCCUGACCUCGCCGAGGCUGUCGGGGAGCACGUCGGUGCGGCCCAUCUUGACCAUGGCCGCCGCGAAGUCCUGGUAGUACUCGUCGGGCGACGACGCGUUGGCCAUCCUCUCGACGUAGCCCCUGGUGGCGGGGUCGUGGAGGAGGCUGCCGUCGGACUGGAAGAGGCCCCCCGUGGCGAGCACGUGGCGGUAGUAGCUGAGGUCGAAGGUGAAGCCGCUGCCGGGGUCCAUGGGCACCUUGGCCCUCCUGCCCCGGCCGCCGCCGCGGCGCGGGCAGAGCUUCCUCAGCUGCCUCGCGUACCGGGCGUCCAGCGACGGGUCCUGGUCCAUGGCGCCCGUGAAGUUGUAGAGCCGCUUCCGGAACGCCUCGCAGUGGGAGGUCCCGAUGCUGUGGCUCCCUGGAGGUGGAGCAAGGAUGCCAUUGUCAGUGCGGUGUGUGUUGGGCUGUUGCUGUCGUCCACGGACGUACGUGCGCGUGAAGCGAUAUAG
RNAcentral lists this ribosomal RNA (549 nucleotides) under Triticum aestivum (bread wheat). RNAcentral's name for it is "partial small subunit ribosomal RNA". Lineage: Eukaryota; Viridiplantae; Streptophyta; Magnoliopsida; Poales; Poaceae. The record is from RNAcentral.